CUCGUAGGUGGCCAACUAAGUCAGACGUGAAAUCCCUCGGCUUAACCGGGGAACUGCGUCUGAUACUGGAUGGCUUGAGUUUGGGAGAGGGACGCGGAAUUCCAGGUGUAGCGGUGAAAUGCGUAGAUAUCUGGAGGAACACCGGUGGCGAAGGCGGCGUCCUGGACCAACACUGACACUGAGGAGUGAAAGCCAGGGGAGCAAACG
RNAcentral lists this ribosomal RNA (207 nucleotides) under uncultured bacterium. RNAcentral describes it as "partial 16S ribosomal RNA". It matches the Rfam family "Bacterial small subunit ribosomal RNA", at positions 568 to 774 of the family's 1533-position model. The record is from RNAcentral.